RNAcentral lists this transfer RNA (74 nucleotides) under Urocitellus parryii (Arctic ground squirrel). RNAcentral's name for it is "Spermophilus parryii (Arctic ground squirrel) tRNA". It matches the Rfam family "tRNA". From Rfam's summary of the family: Transfer RNA (tRNA) molecules are approximately 80 nucleotides in length. Their secondary structure includes four short double-helical elements and three loops (D, anti-codon, and T loops). Lineage: Eukaryota; Metazoa; Chordata; Mammalia; Rodentia; Sciuridae. RNAcentral also lists the same sequence under 2 other names. The record is from Rfam by way of RNAcentral.
GGGGAUAUAGCUCAGUUGGUAGAGUGUUUUGCCUCCCAUGCACAAAGCCCUGGGUUCAAUCCCCAGCACCAUCA